UAUUUCCAUUUAUUCUACCACCAGUGACACCUUCCUCAUUGCAUAUUUUUGGUUCGCCUUAUGAAAUUCAUCGUUGGUCUGAAUUGAUCUUGUACUUCAUCGUACAUUAAAUUUUCCAUGAACAGGGGCGCCUUUGAGGGAGAGGGGAGUACAGAACAUGAUUAAAACUUUUAAAAACCAUGCUAACUCAUCUACGAUUUUCAUGAGGGGCGUCACGCUAAGACCUUGCCAAGAUGGCGGAAAUUGAAAGAGCUAUUUGGAAGUCCAGUCCUUUUCUAUUGUUUUUGUCUGCGCGGUUAACACGAAGCUGGCUUCACCUUUUGGACUCGAGAUUGGACUCCAGAUUUAUAUGGAGCUCAUUG
This 362-nucleotide long non-coding RNA is filed under the name Paramuricea clavata. Lineage: Eukaryota; Metazoa; Cnidaria; Anthozoa; Malacalcyonacea; Plexauridae. The record is from RNAcentral.